CGGGGUGCAGCAGGCGCGAAAACUCUACAGUGCAGGCAACUGCGAUAGGGGAACAUCGAGUGAUCCUCAUAUUGGGGGUCUGUCCCACCGUCUAAAAAACGGUGGUUAGCAAGGGCCGGGCAAGACCGGUGCCAGCCGCCGCGGUAAUACCGGCGGCUCGAGUGGUGGCCGAUAUUAUUGAGUCUAAAGGGUCCGUAGCCGGCUUUGCAAGUCUCUCGGGAAAUCCAACGGCUUAACCGUUGGUCGUCCGGGGGGUACUACAUUGCUUGGAACUGGGAGAGGUAGGAGGUACUCAGGGGGUAGGAGUGAAAUCCUGUAAUCCUCGGGGGACCACCGGUGGCGAAGGCGUCCUACCAGAACAGGUCCGACGGUGAGGGACGAAAGCUAGGGGCACGAACCGGAUUAGAUACCCGGGUAGUCCUAGCCGUAAACGAUGCUCGCUAGGUGUCACAACAGUCGUGAACUGUUGUGGUGCCGUAGGGAAGCCGUGAAGCGAGCCACUUGGGAAGUACGACCGCAAGGUUGAAACUUAAAGGAAUUGGCGGGGGAGCAC
This 553-nucleotide ribosomal RNA is filed under the name uncultured archaeon. RNAcentral describes it as "bacterial SSU rRNA". It matches the Rfam family "Archaeal small subunit ribosomal RNA", at positions 326 to 879 of the family's 1478-position model. The record is from RNAcentral.